This 556-nucleotide long non-coding RNA is filed under the name Mus caroli (Ryukyu mouse). Its description in RNAcentral is "lncRNA (MGP_CAROLIEiJ_G0003270.1)". The record is from RNAcentral. Lineage: Eukaryota; Metazoa; Chordata; Mammalia; Rodentia; Muridae.
UGCCAUACAAGUCUGUGGUAGCCUGCAAGAGAAGAUAUGGAAUACUGAAUGAAAAAACCACACUGUUUGUACUCCUGACAAGCCAUUUGGAACCCAGGCAACCCAACUCCCCUUCAGCUAUCUGAGGACCUGCCUGAAUCACCCUACUGCUCUGGUCAUUCCUGUCUCCUCAAAAGAUGUCCCUUCAGCUGGGCUACCUGGAUGUCUGCUCCUGCAGUAUUGAGAUAAGGAGGGCAUACAGCGUGGUCACCAAACAUUCACAUGACCCUGUUAUUCCCUGAAUGUUGGAUUGGAAAACAAUUUCUAUUUCAAGAGAACAAGAUAAUCAAAGGAUAAUUCUUGAGGGGCAUUGCAAUACUGGAAAUCCAAGAAUUUAGAAACGAAGCCACUGUGAAGAAGACCACACAUCACAGUGCACAGGGUUGGUAUGUGACUUUGCUGGUGACACCCAAAACCCUAAACAGAGCAAAAAUAAACUCCAGAGGCUAAGAGCAAGAUGUUCUCAAGACUCAGUUUACCUGUUGAACCAGUCAUCUGUGUAUCGAGGGUAUGGGUA